Long non-coding RNA from Osmia lignaria (orchard mason bee), 1056 nucleotides. RefSeq lists it as uncharacterized. The record is from RefSeq and is a predicted model, not a curated record. NCBI's taxonomy places the organism in Eukaryota, Metazoa, Arthropoda, Insecta, Hymenoptera, Megachilidae.
CCGUUAUCAAACGACCAAGGGAAGGAAUUGCAGCAGAUCGAACAGUUCUAAAAAUAAAGUACUGUUACAAAUGUGUACAUAAGUUCAUUAAUAAAAAUCUGUGAAGUUUAUAAAGACUAAUAUGGAACUACCUUCGCGCUUGCUAACCUAUCGGAAACAUGAGCUAUUACACAACCAAAUAGUGUUGCAGUUGCACAUCUUACAAUAGGUCUUUGGUGCACUACUCCUAUAAAAAAAUGGAGGAGAAUUACUAAACAUCUAAUAAAAAUAGAAAAUUCUACGUAAAAUGUCAGUGAGACUAACCAUCCCAUAAACCACUAAGGACAUACUCUUGCAUAUGCUCUUGGGAGCAUAAUAUAAUUAUUGCAAUUUGUAAACUAGUAAUACUGGUUCCACUCAUAGAUAAAGCAACAAGGAACUGUUUUAAAGAGUUAGAAACCUUGGUACCGUUUAAAGUGGACAAUAUAAUUAAAUAUGCUGGAAUUAAUGUUAAACUCAUAUUCUUUUUAUCUGUUGAUAAUGUCGUUAAUUGCUGUUCAAGUUCAGCUACCUCAGAUGCAAAUAUUGGUUGGAUCUAAAGAAAAAAAAAAAUAUCAGCCAUAAUUUCUACACAAAAUAUAAGGUUUAUUAAAAUAUUGAAAUUACCCGAGUUUCCGUAAUAUAUUGUCCAAAUCCCAAACACAGAGAAUGAAUAUACGUAAGAAGAGCAUUUAAAAUGGAUUCUUGUAAAAUAUCAAUGGAUUUUACCAUUGUCAAAAUUUCCACAACUCUGAAAAAUAUCAAUUGUCAGAUGAUAUUCCAUGAUCAAUAUAAGUUUUAACGAUCUCGGUAUCUGCUACGCAAAUAACUGUAUGGGGAAGUAAAUACUGUAAUACCGCAAUUGAUGAAACAAUUCUUCCUUCAUCGAUAUGAUCUUUAUUAGAGAGAGCGCCCAUUGAGCUAAAAUCGGUAAAAGUAUAGAAGAUGCGACUUCAACCACAAUAGGCGAUAUAUCGUGAAGUGCUGUUAAUGCUAAUUCUUCGCACUGUAAAAAUAAUAAUUAUUAAAAUAAUACAC